RNAcentral lists this ribosomal RNA (322 nucleotides) under Allapsidae sp. RNAcentral describes it as "SSU rRNA". The stretch from base 106 to 322 matches the Rfam family "Eukaryotic small subunit ribosomal RNA", at positions 737 to 955 of the family's 1831-position model. The record is from RNAcentral. Lineage: Eukaryota; Cercozoa; Glissomonadida; Viridiraptoridae.
GAUUUCUGGCUUGGUGCGCCUGGCCCGCCACGGUAACGUGUGUGAGUGCUGGGUCGCGCCUGCCAUCCUUCUAGAGAACGUGCCUACCCUUAACUGGGCCGGGCACGCGAUCUAGAUCUUUUACUUUGAAAAAAUUAGAGUGUUUAAAGCAGGCUUUUGCUAUGAAUACAUUAGCAUGGAAUAAUAAUCUAGGACUUCGGUUCUAUUUUGUUGGUUUCUAGGACUGAAGUAAUGAUUGAUAGGGAUAGUUGGGGGUGCUAGUAUUCAGCGGCCAGAGGUGAAAUUCUCGGAUUCGCUGAAGACUAACUUAUGCGAAAGCAUU